AUUAACUUGAAAUUAACAAAGCGAAUAUUUUACUUAUAAAGUGUUGAAAUAAGUUUCAAGUUGUUACUUGGAAAGGAGGAAAAAUAUGGACCAAAUUUCCAAGUCUUUUUAUGCAUUGAUGAUAUUUCUUUCUCUAAUUCUUGUUGUAACCAGUAAUGAUAUAAAGUGCACCGUCGCUGGUGAUUGUCCAGACUUCUUUAGGUGUCCCCCUAAUACAUUUGUGAGGUGUAUUAGUAAUAUUUGUAUAUGCAGGAGUUUGUCACAUUAGCAACCUUAAACAACUUUCAGAGGAAGUCAGUGUGUUGGUGACUAUCAAGGAUGUUUAUCCAUUUUAAUUUGUACUAAUAAGGUUCUAUUUCGGAAUAAGUGCCUUGAUUUAUUGAUAGGUGAUAUCUAGUUGAAAAACAAUAAUUUUAUCAAAAUUAUUGUUUUGAUGGAAUAAGUGUCUUGACAUAUUUAUUUUUUUUGAGAAUUAUUUUAAAUCUUAUACUUCUUACAAAUGUUACCAAAAACUAUUGAUUUCCUCAUCUUAAAUUUAGAUUUAGGGUGUCACAUAACCAUUAAUAUGAAAAAUAUUAUAUGUUAGUUAUAAAUAUAUAA
Medicago truncatula (barrel medic) is the source of this 600-nucleotide long non-coding RNA. RefSeq lists it as uncharacterized. NCBI's taxonomy places the organism in Eukaryota, Viridiplantae, Streptophyta, Magnoliopsida, Fabales, Fabaceae. The record is from RefSeq and is a predicted model, not a curated record. The transcript has 3 exons.